GGUUAUAUUGGGAUAGAGGGUUUUGGUACAGACCUGCAAAGGAAGAAUCCAAAAUAAGAGGUCAGCCUUCACAACGGUUGUUUGUUACCACCUAUUAAGACAGAAGAUGCAAGGCUUGUGAACAGGACAAGGAUCAUUCUUGAAAGAUGAGCAGCUGGACCUGGUGUCCAGCCCACAGUAUCAUCACGUGGUUCCUUAGAGCCCCACCCAUUUCCCUCUUGGUUGUUUUCAUUCGUUCAGAGUUUCCUGUUUGCCACUGCCCAUCAGACACAGUGCUAGCUUGGCUCAGAUCUGGCACAAAAGAGGAAACUUUGAUUGUCCAUAGCUCUUGCAUUUUAGAAGGAAGCAAUCUUGCUUUUAGUUCCCUUCAUCCCCACCUCCCACAUCUAUGCUGAUUGUCUUGUUGGAAAGAGGUUGCCCACCACCCUCAAGGGCAUUACAGACAGACUCAGAGGAAGAGGCCUUGAGGUCCAGCAUCCUUCAUCAACAGCUGAGAAGAGAAUGCUGGAGGGUAGGACCUGUGCAGACACAGAGCCCCUCCAACAAGGAGUUUGAAUAACCUGGAAACAAGUGAGCAGCCUCUCGCCAACAGUAUUUUUGGAAGCCGUUGGAGAAAAUGAAGACCAGUAUGAAUCAAAAAAAUGAAGCAAACACACUCUAGAACACUGGUUCUAGAGCCAGGGUGCUGCAUCUUUGCUACUGCCGGUCAUUCAGACAGAUAAUUCUAGGCUUGUUCUGGCAUGGGGCCACCUGGACACAGAAGCACAUAUAGUAGCAUUCCCAGCACAUAACUAGUAGAUGCCAAUAGCACACACUUAGCAAUGUGAUAAUAAAACCUCUCUAAAACAACGUCAAAGAUCUCAAGUGGGGGAAAUAAACAGCUUAGAGUUGAGGACUGAUGACGUAGGGGCACGGAGAUGAAAGAAAGAGGACAUGGGGCUGGAGAGGUGGUUCCAUAGUAGUUGAGAGCACUAAGUGCUCUGGCACAGGAUCUGGGUUUGGUUCCCAGCACCGACGCAGUGGCUCACAACUGCUUGUAAAUCCAGUUCCAUAGGAUCUGAUGCCCUCUUCAGAAACUUGCAAGUUGAUGUACACCUGUGGUGUGUACACACGCACUCAGGCACAGACAUAAACUUAACUACACAGAUCUUUCAAAAGAGGACACUCCUUGUUUAUUACAGGUGAGGCAUUAGGCUAGAUGUGUUUUUACAGAUAUUUCCUAGUGUGAUCCUUAAGAAAGGAUCAUUUUGUUUAUUUUACGUUAUUUAUUUUUUCUAUCAUCUACCCAGGAGGAAACUAAAGAUGAGAAAAACUGAACAACUUCUGAAGGUACAGAGCAUGUAUAUAGCAAAGUCAAGAUUCGAAUCUUAAGCUUGACUGAUGCCGCAGCCAAACACUGGCAAGUUGUCAAGCUCUUUAACUUGGGGUAGCUCUGUAUAAUGACCUGUAAGUCAUUCCUUUGAAAUCAGGCUGAGUCAUGAAACAUAUUCUAUAAAUUAUUUCUUACAUUUUAGCCAUCACCUCCCCAAAUGUCUAAAUGUGUCUCAAAAUACCUGACCUGAAUAUAAAGAAAAAUGAAAACGUGGAAUCCUCUCCUUCAUGUAUGUAUAACAAUGUAGAGUCUGGCCACAAGACUCUUGACUUGUCAGGCAAUCUCAAAAACUCUUAGUAGAUCAGAUUGAGGGAUGGACCUCAAUAUGAUACGUCUUUGAUGAACUCACAACAGCUCCCGAUGUGAAAAGCUCAAAGUUCAUUGGCAAAGAUAAACGACUCCAUGCUCUUACCACUUCCUACACAUUAAUAAAAGUCCUAGACUAAAAGGUUCUCUUCCUAGGAGAGGCAGGAAUGAAGUUAUCUUUAGAUGCUGAUGACCGGAUCAUAAAUGGAGAAGACCACUCCUAGCAAAACAUUGCUAAAAUGGUCGAGUAAGUACAUGUGCAAAGGUGUCAUAUUGAAAACCAGUAUUAUGUAUAGUUAAUAUAUACUGAUAAAAUAUUCAUAAAGCCCAUUAUGACUGAUCAAUUGAUAUAAAUAAAGUUAUAAGACAAAAA
Non-coding RNA from Myodes glareolus (Bank vole), 2051 nucleotides. The record is from RefSeq and is a predicted model, not a curated record. NCBI's taxonomy places the organism in Eukaryota, Metazoa, Chordata, Mammalia, Rodentia, Cricetidae.